CCAUUCCUGCAGCUUGGUAUUCAGCUCUGUACACAUAUGCUUGUUUUGCAGUUUGUUAUUUAUAAAAACAGCUUUGAGCAAAGGCUGCCACAAAACCAUGAAGCCAAGCUUGAUUGCUUUGCUUUUACUGAAAUGUGGUGCCAGCUAAGACCUGAAGCAAACCAGGAAAGGGGAGCAGAUGUCUGUGCACUGAGACUGAGUAAAGGCUGGUGCCACAAACCUGGCAUGUCCUCCUUCACCGGUGGAGAAGGGACUUGUGGGGCACUGCUGGGGUGUCAGGGUUUGUUAUCAGCAGAAGCAAAAGGUGGUAAAAUAGGAACAGAGAGGCACUGCCUGUGCAUAGUAAGGAGUGUCUCCAGCGUGAAGGUUGGUCUCUAAAAGCGGUGGAGGAGGACUGAGAGGGAAUAGAUGAGUGCAGAACUCUGGGGAUUUAAACCAAAACCUGAUGAUACAUCAAGGUCUGCUGGAGGGCUGGAAAUAGAACAAGAGAAUUCCUCCAGGGCUUGGGUGGCUCCUGGGUUUUCCAUCACCAGCACCAGACUGUCCAGACCUACCCAUGCAAGCAAACCCACCGUCAGUGCAGCUCGAACAGCCAGACCCUCCUUGAGCCUCAGGCAUUUGGCUGUGCCCAGCAGUUAUACCCACAUCGAGCAUCUCAUUGCAUGCAAAGAUCUGCAAUAACCUGGUGAUGAACAGCUGCUGGUGGCAAGACCAGACAGCAGCAAAGAUGAUCCUGGCAGCCUUCUGCCCUCCUCGUGCACCACAUGCAGACCCAGAUGAGGGCUGCAGACAGCACCAAAGAUGGCCAGCGGUUAUCCUGCAACUUUAAACUGGAGCGCUUGAGUGGAGUGCUUUUGGAGAGUGCAUCAUUUCCUUGGAAAUAAAUUAUAAUGUUGUACUUUA
Molecule: long non-coding RNA, 903 nt
Organism: Falco peregrinus (peregrine falcon)
Lineage: Eukaryota; Metazoa; Chordata; Aves; Falconiformes; Falconidae
Exons: 3
Source: RefSeq, a predicted model, not a curated record